Nycticebus coucang (slow loris) is the source of this 1471-nucleotide long non-coding RNA. RefSeq lists it as uncharacterized. The record is from RefSeq and is a predicted model, not a curated record. The transcript has 4 exons. Lineage: Eukaryota; Metazoa; Chordata; Mammalia; Primates; Lorisidae.
GAUAGGAGACGUGGAAGACGCCGUCUGCCUCCACGCCUUUUACUGUGCCAUAUGGAGGCGCUGCGGUGCCCUCCCUGCGCGGUAUAACUGGUGGCUGCAGGCCCCUGAUGUUCUCUUCUACCCGCUGAGGCCGGAGUUGGUGGAGUCCACGUACCUCCUCUACCCGGUACUAGAGUGCGCUGAGCAGUGCUCUGUGUGGAAACGCUGGGAAGACUGGAGCCUCCGCUUCUUCAUCAACACCUGCUGACUGAGAUGGAGAAAGGGGAAAUCAUGUGAACCAGUAAUGAUCCUUAUGCCUAAAGACUGACCUCAUGAAUUUUAGCGAAUCUCUCAGAAAAGAAAGCCUGUAACUGGAUAAUUUAUAAAGAAAAGGAACUUAUUUCAUACAGUUACGGAGUCUGAGAAGUUCAAGAGAUUCUUUGGCUAAAAUGUUCGAGGUGGAUCAAAAGGAGCAAUCCUACAUGGCAUAGACUAAAUCAAGCAAAUAGAAAGCUUCUCCUUCACAGACUCAAUAUUAUGGUUUCCCGCCUGUGCUGAUUGUUCGUUCUUGGUAUUUCAAUACAGAGUACAGAGUUCCCUUAAUGUAUUGCUGACAAAACGUGAGUAUAAAGCUACAGCUCCUCAGAUACGAUAAGGAGAGAUGGAUGGAACUCCUUCGUGUUCAGUUUACCUUCUGGAUAAUGGUUUAUCUGCUAGCAUUACAUGUUCCCUUUUAUAAAGCACCAUCAAAAUCAGCUAAUAGUUUUAAGAAUGCAAAUUUUGCCUUUCAAGUGUGAUCAAGAACUCAUUGAGAGUUCACAUGUCUUCAAGUCUCCAUGUGGCCUAGAACAGUAUUGGGUAUAAAGAAUUUGUACCUUUUGAAUGAGUUAGCCAGAUGAAUCUUAUUUUCUACAAGUAUUUGAAGUGGCUGUGAGUAGUAUAGGCAUUCCAUAAAUAAGCCUAAUUUAAACUUGUCUCUGCUCUUCAGUAACAGGGUAUUAACUAGAUUCAUUCCUGUUGCUUAAAAAUUUUGGCUAAGGCUUCAAAAGUGAGAUCAGUGGAUCUUUGGAAUCAAUGGAUCCAUAUCUCUUUGAGAUAUUAAUAAAGAUAGGAAAACCAGUCUAAUGACUGCUACCCCCAUCUGGGCUGGAAAAAAAGGAGGCUAGAGGUUGAUAGGAGGGAUUCUUUGAAACAAAUUCCUGUGAUGAAAGGAGGGAGAUACUUGCUACUCUUUCCUUCCCUUAGUAUUUGCAGCGCCUGUGAAAAGGGCACCACAUUUAUUGACCAAAGCUUUCCAUGAUGUCAGGAAGGGAAGGGAGGCCUCAGCAGGUGUAUUUCCAUGGUUUUCAGGGGGAAAAAAGAAUGAAUUCUUGAGUAUCAGAUGAAUCCCAACAUGCUGACAGAAUAUUAAUGAAGAGCUUCCUAUCAAGGCAAGGGGACCCCUGAGGAUAGAAACCACUAAAGGGGGUUCUCUGGAAGGUUGGCUGGAGAA